CUUCCAGUAGCACCUUAGAGACCAACUAAGUUUGUUAUUGGUAUGAGCUUUCGUGUGCAUGCACACUUCUUCAGAUACCAAUAACAAACUUAGUUGGUCUCUAAGGUGCGACUGGAAG
This is a non-coding RNA of Podarcis lilfordi (Lilford's wall lizard), 118 nucleotides long. The record is from the annotation of a GenBank genome assembly. NCBI's taxonomy places the organism in Eukaryota, Metazoa, Chordata, Lepidosauria, Squamata, Lacertidae.